Molecule: long non-coding RNA, 249 nt
Organism: Erigeron canadensis
Lineage: Eukaryota; Viridiplantae; Streptophyta; Magnoliopsida; Asterales; Asteraceae
Exons: 3
Source: RefSeq, a predicted model, not a curated record
AGAUUAUCCUUUUCUACUUCUUCCUUUACUUUUAAGGAAGAUCAAGACAAGGAUAACAUCUUUUUUGCGGUUGUUGCAGAGGAUUUGAGGAGCAAAUGGGGAAGAAGGGUUGGUUUUCUAUUGUGAAGAAAGUCAUAGGCCCUUGUUACAAGGUUAAGAAAGCCAAGAGAUCCCAAAAAUCAAAAUCAAAUCCCAAAAAGCAAUGGCAUGGAAAUCAAAUGAGGUUGGAUACAUACUCAUCUCAAGGAC